Molecule: ribosomal RNA, 348 nt
Filed under: uncultured bacterium
Lineage: Bacteria
Description: partial 16S ribosomal RNA
Rfam family: Bacterial small subunit ribosomal RNA
Source: RNAcentral
CCUACGGGAGGCAGCAGUGGGGGAUAUUGCACAAUGGGGGGAACCCUGAUGCAGCGACGCCGCGUGGGUGAAGGAGUGCUUCGGCAUGUAAAGCCCUAUCGGCAGGGAAGAAGCAAGACGGUACCGGACGAAGAAGCCCCGGCGAACUACGUGCCAGCAGCCGCGGUAAUACGGAGGGGGCGAGCAUUAUCCGGAUCCACUGGGUGGAAAGGGAGCGUAGACGGCCAAGCAAGCCAGGGGUGAAAGCCCGGGGCCCAACCCCGGGACUGCCCUUGUAACUGCAUGGCUGGAGUGCGGGAGGGCCAGGCGUCAUUCCUGGUGUAGCGGUGCAUUGCGUCGCUCUCCGGA